RNAcentral lists this ribosomal RNA (496 nucleotides) under uncultured bacterium. RNAcentral describes it as "bacterial SSU rRNA". It matches the Rfam family "Bacterial small subunit ribosomal RNA", at positions 30 to 516 of the family's 1533-position model. The record is from RNAcentral.
AUUGAACGCUGGCGGCAUGCCUUACACAUGCAAGUCGAACGGCAGCGCGUCCUUCGGGAUGGCGGCGAGUGGCGAACGGGUGAGUAAUACAUCGGAACGUGCCCGAGAGUGGGGGAUAACGCAGCGAAAGCUGUGCUAAUACCGCAUACGAUCUCAGGAUGAAAGCAGGGGACCGCAAGGCCUUGCGCUCACGGAGCGGCCGAUGGCAGAUUAGGUAGUUGGUGGGAUAAAAGACUUACCAAGCCGACGAUCUGUAGCUGGUCUGAGAGGACGACCAGCCACACUGGGACUGAGACACGGCCCAGAACUCCUACGGGAGGCAGCAGUGGGGAAUUUUGGACAAUGGGGGAACCCUGAUCCAGCCAUGCCGCGUGCAGGAUGAAGGCCUUCGGGUUGUAAACGUGCUUUUGUACGGAACGAAAGGUCUUUUACUAAUAAAGAAGGCUGAUGACGGUACCGUAAGAAUAAGACACCGGCUAACUACGUGCCAGCACGG